UCCUCUGGGUACCAGCUCCUUACUGCCCUGCAGACAAGCGUGCCGUGCGUGCUUGUGGCCAAGGGAAGGAAGAGUGGUUGAUCCACAGAUAGCUCCUUCCUCCCCGCCCCUUCCUUUUUGUUUGGAGGUCCCAGGAUCUGUGUUCACAGACAUCUGGGGGAAGAAAAGGAGCAGGAAACUACCCCGCACAGGUUAAGCAGGAAACAACAACAACAUCAUGCAAAAACCCUGCAAAGAAAACGAAGGAAAGCCAAAGUGCAGCGUGCCAAAGAGGGAGGAAAAACGCCCGUAUGGAGAAUUUGA
This 303-nucleotide long non-coding RNA is filed under the name Homo sapiens (human). RNAcentral describes it as "HSALNT0284943". Lineage: Eukaryota; Metazoa; Chordata; Mammalia; Primates; Hominidae. The record is from RNAcentral.